Molecule: long non-coding RNA, 4123 nt
Organism: Cyprinus carpio carpio
Lineage: Eukaryota; Metazoa; Chordata; Actinopteri; Cypriniformes; Cyprinidae
Source: Ensembl
CUUAUUUGAUCGCUUCAAUAUAAUAAACACAAGCCAAGUACUUGUAGAUUGUUUUUGUCAAUAAUAUUAUGUUACAAACAGACAGACACCUGGAAGCUUUGUUCACGUCCUACCAUUUUAAGCUCCGGACAUUCCGCCUUUUCUACGCUGACGUAAUAUGACUGACACAGGCCUCACCGAAUAAGCGCUUCCAGGGAGCAUGAUUGGCAGCGGCAUUGACCAAUGAGCGUUCGAGCUGCGGCAGCUAUGGCGUCUGCUGAUUUGCAACCCGCCGAAAUAGGAUCGGUGAAGAAGGAGACCUUCGAUCGGUUCGCCAUGGACUGUUCUAGGAUCAGUAAGGUUUAAAUACGACUCUAACCAUAGAGCGAUACAGAGUUGUGUUAAAAAGCUGGUCAUCGUUGGUCAUCAACAAGCUGGUGCUUGUGAGAGGGAAAAAGAUGGAUCCGUCUGCAGGUAUGCACAUGUCUGCUGUUCCCCAGAACAAUGAAGUGGUCCACGUCUCUGUCGGUAACCCCAUUAUAACCAUGUAUCAGCCUCAACCACAACCUCCAAACAUUGCACAAAUCAUCACACAGCACGUGAUACCUCAAGAAGUCUCCUGUCAGGCUAUACCGCACACGAUCCCAUCGCACAUCCAAAUGCCAACCCACAUCCAGACUCAGUCACACAUCCAGCCCGCUCCACAUCUGCAGACUCCACCGCAAGGCCACAUGGAAGCACAGGCUCAUAUUCCGACCCAAGACCACGUAUCAAUACAAGGUCCAUCAGAAGGCCAGAGUGCCGAGCCGUCUCAAGAUGGUGCAGUGAACUCACUGCAAGUCCCUUUUGCAGAGGUAGCCUCCCUGCUGGACCCUAACAUGAAGAGCUCAAAGGCUCGCAAAUACCAGAUCCAUUACGACGAGGUGAAGAGGAGAUUGGAACCACCUGAAAAGAUGUCUCUCCGAUCUCUGGCUGCCUAUACAAGAGUGAGUCGAGGUCCGGCUAGUAAGAAAACACUGUUGGAGUCUCUAAAUGUCUUUGGUCUGUCACCAAGCACCAAUACAGCAGUGUCCAGUUCCUUUUCCAAACUAACCGAAGGUGACACGGCUGCCCUUUGCAAAGACAUGAAGGAUUUUGCACUGCAAUAUGUCGAUUAUGAGAAUAUGGCGAAACAGCUGCUACCUGAAACAAACCAAGUGCAGCACUGGUCAAAAAUCAUCGAAACAAGGAAUUAUCUAGAGGAGAUGAGGAAGAUUUUUAAUGACCCUCUGAAUACACGUUUGUUCGCCAAUGUUACGCAUGGCCUUGGUAACGGCAUGAUGGACGUGGCUCUCGAUAUCAUAGAUAACGUCAUCGACCGACAAAUCCGAAUCCUCUCAGGGAACACCGACCCCAAACCUGAACCUCCGGUGAGAAGGAUAAGGAAACGCAACCGCAAGCCCAAAGCCGCCACGGAAGACGGCAAACCUAAAGAAAAGGGCAAAAGGGGACGGAAGAAAGGGAAACAGAUGCGGCUGGAUUCUGUUGUUCCUGAGGUUCAACAGUCCUCGGAGAUGGAGAGCAGCAUGUUAACGCUAGUCUCUGUAGGAUACGAAACCAUUUCCAGUGGACUUAACCCCAACAAUGCAGGUCUUGCGUAACAUCACGUACCUGAAAGGUGCAGAGAGACACUGUGAAUUCUGAGUGCAAAAAGUUUUUCAUAGAAAAUUUUAGUUUUAUAAAUGUUAGACUUCUCUCCUUCUCUCAAGACUGGCUAUAUUUUGUUUAGUUUUUUCUCACAAUCUGGUCAGUCAAGAAAAUAUAAUGUAGGUCUGAGAGGAUGUUGGCAGAGAUGUUUUGAUUUAAACCAAUCAUGUAUUGCCCUCAACCUUUUGUUUUGCCGUUUGUGGCAAAGAACAAGUGUACACAGACCAUCUAUGCUAUUAACGUAGCAUGCAAGCAAUUUUUUUUUCAAGCACUAUGUUGUAUUCACAAUAUCAGUUAGUCUCAUUUUAGAAUUUUAUCUCUGAAGGGUUCUUUGAUUCUGUUGAACUUAAUCUUACAAACUCCAAGCAAUUUAGUUUGAGAAUGAACAUAUCUUCUCUUGGACAUUGUUUGAUUUUUUUGGACUAUUUAUUUCCUUUUUCUGUUUGUGUCUGAUAUUUAGUGUAUGUGAACGACUGUAGCCUGUACUCGGUAAGUUUUGCAGAUUGCCCAUUAUGUGCUUGUAUUAAAAGCUUCACCUUUUUUAAGCAAUUUGUAUAUUUAUUACAUUUAUAUUGCUUGCAGAGCGCCCAAAGAAUCCAUUUUAUUACGAGACUGAAAUUUAUGGAAUGGAUUUAUCGUAAUUACAAUUGCAUAUAAUUAGGGUUAGGGAUUUAAGCAAACCCUUAACCCUGCGUAUUCAUUUUAUGAGUUUUGCAUAUCUCACAUUAUUUGUGCUAUGAGCCAUAGAUAUCUGAAACUAUGUGGGUUUUUUUUUUAAUGUGGGUAUCUUGUGAUUUUCAUUAAAUUACAAAAUAUGGAAUGAGGGACACAAUCAUCAUAAAGAGACUUUUUAUACGAUCCAGUAAGUAACAUGUCACAAUAUGUUUAUAACCAUUCAGAACAGCUUUGCAGCCAAAUAACAUCAUAUAAGCAUUGUGGUGGCAACAUUUAGUUGCUGUUAUAAUGAAUCUAAUUCCUUUCAAAUAUCAAUAAUAGCUAAUUGGUUUGUUUUCAAUUAUGCUCACUUCAAAUGCUUUGUAAUCUUUUGUAUUUUCACAAAAGAUUUCCCCACAAAGCAGCUUUUCUGAAUCCCUGGCGAGCAUGCAGAGAAAAUCCUCACCAUGGAGUCAGAUUUGUAGCUGAGCCAAUGAUAUUGUUUGUCUGUUUGUUGUUUGAUGUGGGCGUUCUGCAGUUCACAGUGUCACCUACAGGUGUCCUGUCCACUGUGAGGCUUUCAUCAGACUGAGGAUUUGGAGUGCAUUAGUGUAGGUCUGAAUCAGCGCAGGCCGUGGAGAGAUAGGGAUUGAGAGGAAGAAAAUAAAUGUGUGAUGAGUGAGAGAGGGAGGAGACAUACUGUACAUACAACCUGGAUAAUAGUGGAAGGAAAACAGGCAGAGGACACAAAAAAGGACAAUAUUGCACAAAUAUAUACUGAUACAAAGCAAGACAUGGAGUUGUGUGAGAAUUCAGAUCAGAAGCAUAGUCUAGACUGCCGUGGUAAUCCAGGACACAAGCAGUGCUGAGAACUAAAGACGUCAUCACAACCUCACACACAGACAUAUGGACAAGAUGGGGGCCAGUCGUCCACUACCUAAUGCGCCCAAGGAUUCACUAAGUGCUGCAAUAGAGGCCAUCAGUGUGAGCCCAGAACUUGUCGAGGAGGAACUAAAGCCAUAUUUGGACACAGUACUCAAUGUUGCCAUAGAAAGAAAGAAAGGCAUAUCAGAGCAGGUGGUAGAAAGUGGGAUUCUGCCUGUUCUGGCUCAGAUUUUAAGAAGAAAGAGCACGCUCACUACUCACACUGCCAGACUGGUAGCUGAACUGGCCAGAGAUGCUCCUGUGAGAGAGCAAUGCUUUGAGACAGGCAUUGUAUCUGCCCUUGUGACCUUACUGCUUAGCCAAGACCAGGACCUUCUCCUUCACGUUAGCCAGGCCAUCGCCAGGAUUUGCUAUGACAGCAACUUGCAGCAGGAGCGAUUCCUGAGGCUCGGAGCUGUCCCACGACUGGUGUCGGUUCUUCUCCAGUACCUUGAGAACGAGGCACUGCUGAGCUCUUGCCUUCUGGCCCUUUGUAACCUGGCCAACAUGGGCGAAGAAGAUGGCACCAUGCUCUCCUGGGAGGAAGGGGCGUAUUUCGAAGAAAUUCACACAGGUAUGGAAAGACAUGAAGAUCCCUCGACUGCACUUUGCCUGCCGUGUCCUUCAGUUCAGAAAGGCUGAGUGGGAUCAGGAAUCACCCUAAAUCUAUAAUGACACAUAAUACAUCUAUAAUGUUACAAAACAGUUCAAAUAAAUGCUUUUUUUUCUGAAAUAAAUGUAUUGCUUUUUCCCCAAAAAAUAUUAAGAUUAAAUUUCAGCACUAUUGCAGAUUGUUUUAUUCAUUUUAUUGUUAUAUGUUAUUUAUUUAUUUAUUUAAGGUUUAGUAUUUUUGUGAUUGUAACUUUUAUUAUUAUUUUUU